AAACCAACAGGGAUUACCUCAGUAACGGCGAGUGAAGCGGUAACAGCUCAAAUUUGAAAUCUGGGUCUUUCAGGCUCCGAGUUGUAAUUUGUAGAAGAUGCUUCGGGUGCGGCUCCGGUCUAAGUUCCUUGGAACAGGAUGUCAUAGAGGGUGAGAAUCCCGUAUGUGAUCGGUUGCUUGCGCCCAUGUGAAGCUCUUUCGACGAGUCGAGUUGUUUGGGAAUGCAGCUCAAAAUGGGUGGUAAAUUUCAUCUAAAGCUAAAUAUUGGCCAGAGACCGAUAGCGCACAAGUAGAGUGAUCGAAAGAUGAAAAGCACUUUGGAAAGAGAGUUAAACAGUACGUGAAAUUGUUGAAAGGGAAGCGCUUGCAACCAGACUUGCGCGUUGCCGAUCAUCCGGGGUUCUCCCCGGUGCACUCGGCCUCGCUCAGGCCAGCAUCGGUUUUGGUGGUGGGAUAAAGGCCUUGGGAAUGUAGCUCCUUUCGGGGAGUGUUAUAGCCCUCGGUGCAAUGCCGCCUACCGGGACCGAGGACCGCGCUUCGGCUAGGAUGCUGGCGUAAUGGUUGUAAGCGAC
Molecule: ribosomal RNA, 572 nt
Filed under: uncultured fungus
Lineage: Eukaryota; Fungi
Description: eukaryotic LSU rRNA
Rfam family: Eukaryotic large subunit ribosomal RNA
Source: RNAcentral